UUUAAUCAAACCGGCAAAAACCAAUAAAAAC
RNAcentral lists this small RNA (31 nucleotides) under Arabidopsis thaliana (thale cress). Its description in RNAcentral is "ATSL013260". Lineage: Eukaryota; Viridiplantae; Streptophyta; Magnoliopsida; Brassicales; Brassicaceae. The record is from RNAcentral.